Molecule: transfer RNA, 60 nt
Filed under: Indri indri
Lineage: Eukaryota; Metazoa; Chordata; Mammalia; Primates; Indriidae
Description: tRNA-Ser
Source: RNAcentral
GAGAAAGAAACUUAAGAACUGCUAAUUCUUAAACCCAUAUAUAAAAACAUGGCUUCCUCA